UGUUUAUUAAUUAGGUCUUUCCACUUUUCCGUGGAAAGACCUAUUGCUUUUCUUCUGAUUAUUAUUUUUUUUUUUUUUUCUUCCGCCUAAUUUUUUUCCUUCGCUGUUUUUUUGUUUUGCAAGAUGUCGCUUAGAAAUUUGGAAUAUGAUAUCGAACAGUUUAUACGCUUUUGAAAACAACUCUGCUAAACCAAAUACUUUACCAUAUAAGAGUUAUCUCCCGAACACUGUUUUUCUUGUUAUCUCUAAGGCUUCGCAACCGUAUAAGAAACCGACAAAUUUAUUUUUCCAAAUUGCUCGUUACAUCCUCAGAAUGUUCUGUUUUAUUUUGACCAAAGCCGUAUAUAGAUUCCAUAUGAGAGUUUUCCCCCCUUUUAUGUUUGAUAUUAGAAUAUGCAUUUCUAACUGGUAAACCAUAAGUGAUAGAGGCCUAGGGUCUUUUGAUUUGAGGUCCUUGGUUCAAAAAAAAUGAAAAUUAGGUCAAGGUCAAAGGUCAAGGUCAUGUUCAAAAUUUUGAAUUUGGCUUGUUAUCUCUCAUUUUUAGAAAUCUUAUAAGAUAUCGACAAAAUAUUUACACACAAUUGUUAGUCGCGACAUGUAGUUACACAUAAAUUUUAGUCGAAAGGAUAAGUAGAUGUUUGAUGCGAGUUUUCCCCCCUUUUAUAUCUAAUAUCGGUUGUAUGGUAAUAUAACUCAUAAACAAUAUAAAGUAAAUACCUAGAGUCUUUUGAUUUGAGGUCCUUGGUUUAUGACCUUGAAAUUGAGCUCAAGGUCAUUUGUUAAUUUAACGUUCUAGAUUUUGACCUUUGCUUUUACCUCAUAUGUAUUCAUGUUAAAGCUAUCAGACUUUUUGCAUUAGGUUGCAAGCAAUAUGACGUUGAAAAAGCUAACCGGAAGUGACCUUUUGUAAACCGGAAGUAGCUAAUUUUUGUAAUAAAUUGUUGUAAAAGUAUGUAAAACCAUAUAUUUUUGGAAUCAGCGUCAAGUAAACUAUAAGACAAUACCGGUAGUAACAUAUUUUGAACCGGAAAUAGAAAAUUAUCUCCCUUAUUUAUAUCUUCUUGUGUAGAAACCUUAUAUUUUUUGAAUCAGCGUACAAUAAGUUUUCAUUUGACGUUGAAAUUGAC
RNAcentral lists this long non-coding RNA (1127 nucleotides) under Mytilus galloprovincialis (Mediterranean mussel). The record is from RNAcentral. Lineage: Eukaryota; Metazoa; Mollusca; Bivalvia; Mytilida; Mytilidae.